CGGCGUAGCUCAGCUGGCUAGAGCGUACGGUUCAUACCCGUAAGGUCGGGGUUAAGCCCCUCCGCCGCUA
RNAcentral lists this transfer RNA (70 nucleotides) under Paenibacillus larvae. RNAcentral describes it as "tRNA-Met". It matches the Rfam family "tRNA". From Rfam's summary of the family: Transfer RNA (tRNA) molecules are approximately 80 nucleotides in length. Their secondary structure includes four short double-helical elements and three loops (D, anti-codon, and T loops). Further hydrogen bonds mediate the characteristic L-shaped molecular structure. tRNAs have two regions of fundamental functional importance: the anti-codon, which is responsible for specific mRNA codon recognition, and the 3' end, to which the tRNAs corresponding amino acid is attached (by aminoacyl-tRNA synthetases). tRNAs cope with the degeneracy of the genetic code in two manners: having more than one tRNA (with a specific anti-codon) for a particular amino acid; and 'wobble' base-pairing, i.e. permitting non-standard base-pairing at the 3rd anti-codon position. Lineage: Bacteria; Bacillati; Bacillota; Bacilli; Caryophanales; Paenibacillaceae. The record is from RNAcentral.